This 254-nucleotide unclassified non-coding RNA is filed under the name Ascomycota sp. Its description in RNAcentral is "partial contains small subunit ribosomal RNA, internal transcribed spacer 1, and 5.8S ribosomal RNA". The stretch from base 1 to 47 matches the Rfam family "Eukaryotic small subunit ribosomal RNA", at positions 1785 to 1831 of the family's 1831-position model. The record is from RNAcentral. Lineage: Eukaryota; Fungi; Ascomycota.
AAAGUCGUAACAAGGUUUCCGUAGGUGAACCUGCGGAAGGAUCAUUACCGAGUUAGGGUCUUAUAGGCCCGAUCUCCAACCCUUUGUUUACUAUACCAUGUUGCUUUGGUGGGCCCGCCUUUCGGGGCCGCCGGGGGUCUUGACACCCUUGGUCAGUGCCCGCCAGUAGCCUUAAUAAACUCUUUGAUAAUUAUGUUGUCUGAGUAUAAAGAUAAAAUCGUUAAAAACUUUCAACAACGGAUCUCUUGGUUCUG